This 268-nucleotide unclassified non-coding RNA is filed under the name Hevea brasiliensis (rubber tree). Lineage: Eukaryota; Viridiplantae; Streptophyta; Magnoliopsida; Malpighiales; Euphorbiaceae. The record is from RNAcentral.
GCAUCAUAGCAUUUAAGAAUUAAUCAAUAAACUACACUUCAAUCUCAUAUAAAAAACUAGCACAAUUAACCAGUGUUCUGCUGAAACUCUAGUUAAGCUAACACACACACAUUACCUUGAGCCAUUCAAAUUUCUCUCAUAACCAUUCCCACUGAAAGCUCUUGUAACUCCAUCCAAUGUUUUGUGUUCCCAGAUCUGAUGCUGACCAGCCAUUGCGAUGUAGACAAUUUCAUUCUCAGGUUCAAAGCAGACAUCCCAUGGAGAGUUG